GUCAUAUAAAAGAUGUCAUCGGAGUCACAGAGAGCCGUAGAUGAAGAGGUAGAGAGUCAUGCUCCCUCUAAGGCAGCUGCACCUGCUGCUACUCCUCCACCUGCUGCUGCUGGCGGACUAGGGCAGGAUGCAUUGUUUCAGCAAAUAGCUGAGUUGCUUAGGAGGGUUACACAACAUGUACCAGAGGUACCACCACCACCUGUAGCAGUCGAGGUUCCCCCAC
Molecule: long non-coding RNA, 223 nt
Filed under: Manihot esculenta (cassava)
Lineage: Eukaryota; Viridiplantae; Streptophyta; Magnoliopsida; Malpighiales; Euphorbiaceae
Description: long non-coding RNA (MESC_LNC013118)
Source: RNAcentral